UUUGAGACAGUAUUUGAUUUAAGAAAGUAGCCCAGAAUAAUUAAUACAAGUUUUUAUCUUUUAAUCUUUUACACCAAAAUGAAAGUACUUGUUAAAAGAAUUGAUGCAGACAAAAGCAUACAUAGAUAGAUAAAAUAUCAUAUCUAUGCAAGUUUAGGGCAUACCUGCAUGUAUGAAUCUGCUAUAUUUGCAUCUCCUUUAACAUGUAUGUUAAUGAUAAUUGUACUUUGCAUAGCACUGGAUAAACAUAGAUCUAGUAGUACGUAAAUAUAGGAUACUGGGAGAAUAAAGUUAAUUAUGAUAAUUUCCGGUGCAUGGAAACUUAAAACCCUAGCUAGCUAGCUAGCUACUUCAUCAUGACCAUGUAUUAGUACCUGGGCUUGAAAUGGACUUUGUCAUCAAGAAAGGAAACUUCUGUACUGUUUGUGAUUGCUCCAUGGUCUCAACAAGAACAGAAACCAACAUGGAAUGGAUGUCAAUUAUUGCAUGCCGUGCCGUGAAUAUAUAUAUUUCGACAGCAAUAAAUUAAUUUCUUCCUUAUGGGACCAAGGAUCAAAGACUAUAGGGAAGCAUAUAUGCUUGAUAAACAUUACAGGUAGAUAUAGGGAAAGAGAUGCAGAAGAGAAGUUAUAUAACAAAAUAAUCUAUUUAAGCAGAAACAGACACACCCACAUAACAUCUUCUCUUCGAAAAGUAAUUAAGAUCAUCAUCUAAAUAACAUGAACUAAUACUGCAAAAGUCUGAAGACAUAAACUAGUGAUGAUAUAUUCAAUAAUCAAGUAAUGAUCAAAAUGGAAAAGGAAAAAAAAAGAAAGAAAGAAGAACCCUUGUAGCCAAAAAGCUUUUUAAGAAAUUAUUCUUGAUGUGGAUUUGCUUGAUCUAGCAAAUGAUCGGACCGAGACGCUUGAUUCCCCAGAGUAGCUGUUGGAUCCUUUUGACGGGAAAAGAACCCUUCAAGUGAAACACUUAGCUAGGUUUUUAUCAUGACUAAAAACCCUCUAUCGUUUCCUUCCUUUUCUUCUUCUUCUUCUUCUUCUUCUUGAUCUUGUUGUGUUUGCUUUUCUUGUUUUGGUUUUGGGAUGUGAAGUUGGGUAGUGAAAAAGGAUGUAGUGGAGAUGGGGGGGUAAUGAUGAUGGGGGUGAAGAGUCAGUGGGAAGAGCAAGGAGGAGGAGGAGGGCAUGAUGAUUGCUGUUGGUUGAUGCUGUUGAAAGGUUGAAGAAAAAUCCAAGGUAUUGCGUGCCAUUUCCUCAGAUAAAGAAUGAGAGAGAAAGAAUGUGAGAGAGAGAGAGAGAGAGAGAGAGAGUUCUCUCUUUCUUUCUCUCUCUAUAUGAAGAGAAUUAUCAUGAAGCCCUCGGUGCUAGCUUUUUCAUACCACAGCUCUUGUUCUCUAUGAUGAAAUUGAAAAGACCCAUUAUUUUAUUUUUAUUUACCUUUUCAUGGAAAGAAUUAUCAUAUC
This 1456-nucleotide long non-coding RNA is filed under the name Ricinus communis (castor bean). RNAcentral's name for it is "long non-coding RNA (RCOM_LNC000162)". Lineage: Eukaryota; Viridiplantae; Streptophyta; Magnoliopsida; Malpighiales; Euphorbiaceae. The record is from RNAcentral.